GAUGAACGCUGGCGGCGUGCCUAAUACAUGCAAGUCGAGCGAACAGACGAGGAGCUUGCUCCUCUGACGUUAGCGGCGGACGGGUGAGUAACACGUGGAUAACCUACCUAUAAGACUGGGAUAACUUCGGGAAACCGGAGCUAAUACCGGAUAAUAUAUUGAACCGCAUGGUUCAAUAGUGAAAGACGGUUUUGCUGCCACUUAUAGAUGGACUCGCGCCGCAUUAGCUAGUUGGUAAGGUAACGGCUUACCAAGGCAACGAUGCGUAGCCGACCUGAGAGGGUGAACGGCACCACUGGAAUUGAAACACGGCCCAGACUCCUACGGGAGGCGGCAGUGGGGAAUCUUCCGCAAUGGGCGAAAGCCUGACGGGGAAACGCCGCGUGAGUGAUAAAGGUCUUCGGAUCGUAAAACUCUGUUAUUAGGGAAGAACAAAUGUGUAAGUAACUAUGCACGUCUUGACGGUACCUAAUCAGAAAGCCACGGCUAACUACGUG
RNAcentral lists this ribosomal RNA (497 nucleotides) under uncultured bacterium. Its description in RNAcentral is "partial 16S ribosomal RNA". It matches the Rfam family "Bacterial small subunit ribosomal RNA", at positions 28 to 507 of the family's 1533-position model. The record is from RNAcentral.